AGCUUGUUGGUGAGGUAAAGGCUCACCAAGGCGACGAUCCGUAGCUGGUCUGAGAGGACGACCAGCCACACUGGAACUGAGACACGGUCCAGACUCCUACGGGAGGCAGCAGUGGGGAAUUUUGGACAAUGGGGGCAACCCUGAUCCAGCCAUUCCGCGUGAGUGAAGAAGGCCUUCGGGUUGUAAAGCUCUUUCAGCAGGAACGAAACGGUGGCCCCUAAUACGGGCUACUAAUGACGGUACCUGAAGAAGAAGCACCGGCUAACUACGUGCCAGCAGCCGCGGUAAUACGUAGGGUGCGAGCGUUAAUCGGAAUUACUGGGCGUAAAGCGCGCGCAGGCGGUUCUAUAAGACAGAUGUGAAAUCCCCGGGCUUAACCUGGGAACUGCGUUUGUGACUGUAGGACUCGAGUGUGGCAGGGGGGGGGUGGAAUUCCACGUGUAGCAGUGAAAUGCGUAGAGAUGUGGAGGAACACCGAUGGCGAAGGCAGCCCCCUGGGUCAACACUGACGCUCAUGCACGAAAGCGUGGGGAUCAAACAGGAUUAGAUACCCUGGUAGUCCACGCCCUAAACGAUGCGAACUAGGUGUUGGGGAAGGAGACUUUCUUAGUACCGCAGCUAACGCGUGAAGUUCGCCGCCUGGGGAGUACGGUCGCAAGAUUAAAACUCAAAGGAAUUGACGGGGACCCGCACAAGCGGUGGAUGAUGUGGAUUAAUUCGAUGCAACGCGAAAAACCUUACCUACCCUUGACAUGUCAGGAAUCCUGCUGAGAGGUGGGAGUGCCCGAAAGGGAACCUGAACACAGGUGCUGCAUGGCUGUCGUCAGCUCGUGUCGUGAGAUGUUGGGUUAAGUCCCGCAACGAGCGCAACCCUUGUCAUUAAUUGCCAUCAUUCAGUUGGGCACUUUAAUGAGACUGCCGGUGACAAACCGGAGGAAGGUGGGGAUGACGUCAAGUCCUCAUGGCCCUUAUGGGUAGGGCUUCACACGUCAUACAAUGGUCGGUACAGAGGGUCGCCGACCCGCGAGGGGGAGCCAAUCCCACAAAGCCGAUCGUAGUCCGGAUCGCAGUCUGCAACUCGACUGCGUGAAGUCGGAAUCGCUAGUAAUCGUGGAUCAGCAUGUCACGUUGAAUACGUUCCCGGGUCUUGUACACACCGCCCGUCACACCAUGGGAGUGGGUUCCACCAGAAGUAGGUAGUCUAACCGCAAGGGGGGCGCUUACCACGGUGGGAUUCAUGACUGGGGUGAAGUCGAAACAAGGUA
Molecule: ribosomal RNA, 1265 nt
Filed under: metagenome
Description: bacterial SSU rRNA
Rfam family: Bacterial small subunit ribosomal RNA
Source: RNAcentral